This is a non-coding RNA of Bacteroides sp. CAG:754, 77 nucleotides long. The record is from Rfam. NCBI's taxonomy places the organism in Bacteria, Pseudomonadati, Bacteroidota, Bacteroidia, Bacteroidales, Bacteroidaceae.
UUGAGCCGUAUGAUGGGAAACUAUCAAGUACGGUUCUUAGGGGGGAAAGGGGCAGCAAUGCCUCCGACCUACCCGAU